UACGUAGGUGGCAAGCGUUGUUCGGAAUAACUGGGCGUAAAGGAUGCGUAGGCGGUUAAACAAGUUAUAUGUUAAAUAUAUAGGCUUAACCUGUAGAAAGCAUAUAAAACUGUUUAACUAGAGUGCAGGAGAGGAGAGUGGAAUUCCAUGUGUAGCGGUGAAAUGCGUAGAUAUAUGGAGGAACACCGGUGGCGAAAGCGGCUCUCUGGCCUGUAACUGACACUGAGGCUCGAAAGCGUGGGGAGCAAACAGG
Molecule: ribosomal RNA, 253 nt
Filed under: uncultured bacterium
Lineage: Bacteria
Description: partial 16S ribosomal RNA
Rfam family: Bacterial small subunit ribosomal RNA
Source: RNAcentral